AAUGAACGCUGGCGGCAGGCCUAACACAUGCAAGUCGAACGAGUGGCGGACGGGUGAGCAAUACAUUGGAAUCUGCGUUAUCGAGGGGGAUAACGGAGGGAAACGUUCGCUAAUACCGCAUACGAUGCGAUGAGCCGAUGUGGGAUUAGCUAGUUGGUGGGGUAAAGGCCCACCAAGGCGACGAUCCGUAGCUGGUCUGAGAGGAUGAUCAGCCACACUGGAACUGAGACACGGUCCAGACUCCUACGGGAGGCAGCAGUGGGGAAUAUUGGACAAUGGGCGCAAGCCUGAUCCAGCCAUGCCGCGUGGGUGAAGAAGGCCUUCGGGUUGUAAAGCACUUUUGUUGGGGAAGCGGUACCCAAAGAAUAAGCACCGGCUAACUCCGUGCCAGCAGCCGCGGUAAUAC
This 406-nucleotide ribosomal RNA is filed under the name uncultured bacterium. RNAcentral's name for it is "partial 16S ribosomal RNA". It matches the Rfam family "Bacterial small subunit ribosomal RNA", at positions 29 to 526 of the family's 1533-position model. The record is from RNAcentral.